This 450-nucleotide ribosomal RNA is filed under the name uncultured bacterium. RNAcentral describes it as "bacterial SSU rRNA". It matches the Rfam family "Bacterial small subunit ribosomal RNA", at positions 28 to 475 of the family's 1533-position model. The record is from RNAcentral.
GAUGAACGCUGGCGGCGUGCUUAACACAUGCAAGUCGAACGAAGCACUCUAUUUGAUUUUCUUCGGAAAUGAAGAUUUUGUGACUGAGUGGCGGACGGGUGAGUAACGCGUGGGUAACCUGCCUCAUACAGGGGGAUAACAGUUGGAAACGACUGCUAAUACCGCAUAAGCGCACAGGAUCGCAUGAUCCGGUGUGAAAAACUCCGGUGGUAUGAGAUGGACCCGCGUCUGAUUAGCCAGUUGGCAGGGUAACGGCCUACCAAAGCAACGAUCAGUAGCCGACCUGAGAGGGUGACCGGCCACAUUGGGACUGAGACACGGCCCAAACUCCUACGGGAGGCAGCAGUGGGGAAUAUUGCACAAUGGGGGAAACCCUGAUGCAGCGACGCCGCGUGAGCGAAGAAGUAUUUCGGUAUGUAAAGCUCUAUCAGCAGGGAAGAAGAAUGACGG